UGUAACAGACUUCACCUCGCUUUUAAAUCAAACCGUUGUUGCCUCUCUUCCCUCUCUCAACCCCCCUGAUCCCUAUACAAACUCUUUACCUUCUGACCCUCCCACUUUUUUGGCUACUAAGGAUCCUCCGCCCUUGGGUGAUCCUCCUUUAAACCUCUGAUGAGUGUAAAAUUCUUUUUUUGGAAUGUCCGAGGCAUUAAUCACCCGGACAAACAUAGGCCUUUUGUUAGCUGGCUUCAAAGCCACAAGCCUAUGUUCGGAGCAAUAUUAGAAUCUCAUAUUAAAGAACCUUUUCUGAUACCUCUUUUGUCAAAAAUCUGCCCUGGUUGGUCCUACUUCUCAAAUCACUUAUCUGAUCCUGAUGGGCGAAUAAUUCUCAUUUGGAAAGACCCUAUCAAAGUCACUGUUCUCUCGCAGUCUAGACAAUGCGUGACUUGUCUCCUCACUGUCCCAAAUAGCCCUCCUAUCUUCUAUUCAGCAGUCUAUGCUUCCAAUCUUGGGGCGGAGAGAAGUGAUUUGUGGGUUGAGCUUCUCAACACUGCUGUGAACUACAACUUGGACAGUAGCUGCUGGUUUGUUGGUGGGGAUUUCAACCAAACCCUUUUCCCUGCAGAGCACUCUAACAAUGAUGGAGCCGGGCCUGAUAGUCUAAUGUAUCAGUUGCAAGACUGUUUUCUGCAAGCAGGGUUAUUUGAUCUCCGUUAUCUUGGCCCCUCUCACACUUGGUCAAACAGCUGCCCUUCGAACCCAAUCACGAAAAAACUGGAUCGGCUUCUUGUAAACUGCAGCUCUAUCUCCACUUUCCCUCAUGCUACUGCUACUUUCCUUCCACCCUUAACCUCUGACCACGCCCCUUGUAUCCUAGACCUCGCCUACUCUCUUCCAACUGCUGGAACCAAACCAUUUAAAUUCCCCAACUACCUCACCCGUCAUCCCCACUUUCUCCAGCUCAUGCAAAGUACCUGGUUUCAAUCCGGAAUCGAGUGUCAAACAUUAACCCAACUAUGUUGGAAACUUAAGUUGAUCAAGAGAGAGUUGAAACAAAUAAAUAGAGAGAAUUUUUCAAACAUUCAGGAGAGAGUGAGCGAAGCUAACCGUUUGUUACAGUCUAUGCAGGUACAGGCGCUCACCUUCCCCACGCAAGAGAACUUUGAAGCAGAAAGAGAGCUCCAUCUUCGAUGGACGUUCCUGAGGAGUAUAGAGGAAAGCUAUUUCAUGCAAAAAUCGCGAAUCAACUGGUUGAAAGAGGGAGAUUUGAAUACGGCUUACUUUCAUCGUAUGUGCCAAGUAAGGGCCAGCUAUAACGCCAUUCGUGCCUUCAUGACUCUUUCUGGAGCUUGGAUAACAGACCCAAUGGAGAUGAGUUUUCAUGCCAUAUCACACUUUGGCGCAGUCCUUGCUCCGACUACUUUUUCUCCAUCAGCAAUCUUCUCACAUCCUGCCUGGUUCGCCGAACUGACAGGAUUUCAUGUCUCACAAAGCCAAGCUCUACUGAUGACAACUAUGCCCAUUCCUGAAGAAGUCAAGGCUCUUUUCUUCAAGCUAAAUCCAAAUAAAGCCCCGGGUCCUGAUGGACUAACCUCAGGUUUUUUCAAAGGGGCUUGGUCUGUCAUUGGCGCUGAAACAACAACUUCAAUCCUGCAGUUCUUCUCCUCUAGCUUCCUUCCGGCGUCUGCUAAUGCCACUAUCCUGUCCCUUGUACCAAAAUACCCUGGAGCAAGCAAGUUAUCGGAGUUCAGACCUAUAUCUUGUCUCAAUACAGUUUAUAAAGUCAUUUCUAGACUGCUGGUCCGGAGACUAAAGCCUAUCUUACCUCAUCUCAUUCUCCCAAGCCAAACAGCUUUUGUUAAGGGCCGCCUACUGUUGGAGAACACGACACUUGCUAGUGAGCUGAUCAAUGGCUAUCAUCGCAACAAAGGAACUAAGAAGAUUACCAUAAAAGUAGAUAUUGCAAAGGCCUUCGACACCAUCUCUUGGGAGUUCCUCUUCUCGUGCCUGAAUGGCUUGGGUUUCCCUUCGCUUUUCCUAUCCUGGUUGCGUGCCUGCAUAUGUACAACAAGCUUCAUGGUUGGUUACAAUGGAAUGGUAAAUGGCUAUUUCAAAGGCACAAGAGGGCUAAGACAGGGAGACCCUUUGUCUCCAUACCUUUUUGUAAUUGCAAUGAACUGUCUCUCUCACAUGCUUAACAAGGCAGCAGCAGACCAUAAGCUCAAAUUCCAUGCUAAAUGUGAAAAGGUCAAACUGACUCACUUGUCCUUUGCAGAUGAUCUUCUGAUUUUUAUUGAUGGCUCUGUUGAAACUGUCCAGCAAGUUCUUCAGGUCCUGCGGGAAUUCGAGAAUAGAUCAGGUCUCGCAGUGAGCCUCCAAAAGACAUCUUUCUUCGCCUCAGGAUUGGAGCAGACUGAAAUCGACACUAUCCAAGCUACUACAGGAAUGCUUUGUGGCUCGCUCCCGUUUCGGUAUCUCGGCGUCCCUCUCAACUCAAAGAAACUGUCCUUAGCUGGCUGUGAUACAUUGCUGCAACAGGUGAAAGCAAAGUUCAACUCCUGGUCAGUUAAGACCCUGUCUUUCUCUGGUCGCUUACUGCUCAUCAAAACGGUGAUCUCUGGAAUUACAACGUUUUGGUGCUCAUCCUUUGUCCUUCCCAAAGCCUGCAUCAACAAAAUCAACUCUCUGUGUAGUACUUUUCUUUGGAAAGGAGAUGUAGACUCGAGAAACUCGGCUAGGGUAGCAUGGGAAACGGUAACUCUAACGAAAGAACAAGGGGGAUUGGGAGUGAAAGACCUACUUACUUGGAAUAAGUCAUGUUGCAUGCGCUUAAUAUGGAUGAUCUUCUUUCGCCCUGACUCUGUCUGGGUAUCCUGGUUCAAAGAGGUCAUACUCAAAGGGUCAUCUCACAACUACUGGUCUACUAGACCGAGCUCUUCUUUUUCAUGGUUAGCAAACAAAUUGUUGAAGAUGAAAAAUGUAGUUUACCCAUUGAUUCGCUUGCAGUUACAGAAUGGAGCCACAGCAAGGUUUUGGUAUGAUAAUUGGAGUCCCUUUGGCUGCCUGCACGACUACCUUCAAGCCUCACUAUCUAGGUUUGGGAUCCCAUUGAAUGCAACUGUCGCUUCGUUACAUAGGAAUGGAGUUUGGUCCCUUCCCCCGGCGAGAUCGGAUCACCAACUACAACUGCUUUCAUACCUAACAACAAUACAACUGACAGACGAUCAAGAUACCUAUCUCUGGGAAAUGGAAGGAAAAAUCAUGGAAAGGUAUGAAACAGGGAAGGUUUAUCACUACCUCCGUGGACACAUACCAACGGUCCAGUGGGCUUCAGCAGUUUGGUCAUCUAAAGGCAUCCCAAGGCAGUCGUUUCACACUUG
This 3368-nucleotide long non-coding RNA is filed under the name Brassica napus (rape). Its description in RNAcentral is "long non-coding RNA (BNAP_LNC006227)". Lineage: Eukaryota; Viridiplantae; Streptophyta; Magnoliopsida; Brassicales; Brassicaceae. The record is from RNAcentral.